GUGGGGAAUAUUGGACAAUGGGCGAAAGCCUGAUCCAGCCAUGCCGCGUGAGUGAUGAAGGCCUUAGGGUUGUAAAGCUCUUUCAGUAGGGAAGAUAAUGACGGUACCUACAGAAGAAGCCCCGGCUAACUUCGUGCCAGCAGCCGCGGUAAUACGAAGGGGGCUAGCGUUGUUCGGAUUUACUGGGCGUAAAGCGCACGUAGGCGGAUUGGUCAGUUAGAGGUGAAAUCCUGGAGCUCAACUCCAGAACUGCCUUUAAUACUGCCAGUCUAGAGUCCAGAAGCGGUGAGUGGAACUCCUGGUGUAGAGGUGGAAUUCGUAGAUAUUAGGAAGAACACCAGUGGCGAAGGCGGCUCACUGGUCUGGUACUGACGCUGAGGUGCGAAAGCGUGGGGAGCAAACAGGAUUAGAUACCCCAGUAGUCC
Molecule: ribosomal RNA, 425 nt
Filed under: uncultured bacterium
Lineage: Bacteria
Description: partial 16S ribosomal RNA
Rfam family: Bacterial small subunit ribosomal RNA
Source: RNAcentral